Molecule: ribosomal RNA, 345 nt
Filed under: Ortalia horni
Lineage: Eukaryota; Metazoa; Arthropoda; Insecta; Coleoptera; Coccinellidae
Description: partial 12S ribosomal RNA
Source: RNAcentral
UUUAAAAGUAGAAAAUUUUACCAAAUUAUUAAUAGUUAUGUUCUUGAAAGUUAAAUAUUUUGGCGGUAUUUUAGUCUUUUCAGAGGAACCUGUUCUAUAAUUGAUAAUCCACGAUUAAUAAUAUUUUUAUUAGAAAUUUAUAUAUCGUUGUUAAUAAAUAUUUUAUUAGAAUUAAAUAUUUAAAAUUUUUAUAAAAAAAAAAUUCAGAUCAAGAUAUAGUUUAUAUAAAAAAAGAGAUGGGUUACAUUUAUUUUAAUAAUGAAUUAAGUAUUUAAAAUAUUUAUGCAAUUGGAUUUGAAAGUAAUUAAAUUUAUAUUUUUUUAAUGAUUAAGCUCUAAAAUAUGU